This is a long non-coding RNA of Hemicordylus capensis (graceful crag lizard), 390 nucleotides long. RefSeq lists it as uncharacterized. The transcript has 2 exons. The record is from RefSeq and is a predicted model, not a curated record. NCBI's taxonomy places the organism in Eukaryota, Metazoa, Chordata, Lepidosauria, Squamata, Cordylidae.
GGCCAGGGGUGACUCUGGUUCAAUCCAAGGAGCAGUAUUAGGAAGAAAUGCAUGCUCUCCCUCAAGAUCUUUCUCUGCAACUAGGAAGUGAGACUCUGUUUCCAGGACUUUAAUAAAGGUACAGUUCAACCACACACAUAUUAGGGAGAGAAGAGGUAAUGUAAGAGUCUGGGGACUGAAAAUAAAGCACAACUGAAGUGCAAUGUGUGUGGAUUGUAAUUUAGGGGUGGGGAGGGGAAGCUAGCUUUCAAAUUGUAAAUGUUUGGUUAUUUGCAGUAGUUAAUCAUCUUAUGCUGAAAUCUAUAAUUUCUCCAAGGAGCUAAACAGAAUUGUAAACCUUUUUUUUUUACUCAAGCAUGUUGCUAUGCAUCACCAGUUGCAUCUUUAAUG